RNAcentral lists this ribosomal RNA (254 nucleotides) under uncultured bacterium. Its description in RNAcentral is "partial 16S ribosomal RNA". It matches the Rfam family "Bacterial small subunit ribosomal RNA", at positions 524 to 777 of the family's 1533-position model. The record is from RNAcentral.
UACGAAGGGGGCUAGCGUUGUUCGGAAUUACUGGGCGUAAAGCGCACGUAGGCGGCUUUCCAAGUUGGAGGUGAAAUCCCUGGGCUUAACCCAGGAACUGCCCCCAAGACUGGAAGGCUCGAGUCCGAGAGAGGUGAGUGGAAUUUCCAGUGUAGAGGUGAAAUUCGUAGAUAUUCGGAAGAACACCAGUGGCGAAGGCGGCUCACUGGACUGGUAUUGACGCUGAGGUGCGAAAGCGUGGGGAGCAAACAGGG